RNAcentral lists this ribosomal RNA (492 nucleotides) under uncultured bacterium. Its description in RNAcentral is "partial 16S ribosomal RNA". It matches the Rfam family "Bacterial small subunit ribosomal RNA", at positions 29 to 507 of the family's 1533-position model. The record is from RNAcentral.
AGUGAACGCUGGCGGUAGGCCUAACACAUGCAAGUCGAACGGCAGCACAGUAAGAGCUUGCCCUUACGGGUGGCGAGUGGCGGACGGGUGAGGAAUACAUCGGAAUCUACUUUUUCGUGGGGGAUAACGUAGGGAAACUUACGCUAAUACCGCAUACGACCUACGGGUGAAAGCAGGGGAUCUUCGGACCUUGCGCGAUUGAAUGAGCCGAUGUCGGAUUAGCUAGUUGGCGGGGUAAAGGCCCAUCAAGGCGACGAUCCGUAGCUGGUCUGAGAGGAUGAUCAGCCACACUGGAACUGAGACACGGUCCAGACUCCUACGGGAGGCAGCAGUGGGGAAUAUUGGACAAUGGGCGCAAGCCUGAUCCAGCCAUACCGCGUGGGUGAAGAAGGCCUUCGGGUUGUAAAGCCCUUUUGUUGGGAAAGAAAAGCAGCAGGUUAAUACCCCGCUGUUCUGACGGUACCCAAAGAAUAAGCACCGGCUAACUUCGUG